CCGGCCCCCUUAGACGGAGGUGGUGGGUCUGGCUUCUCCUGGGGUUCGUCAUAGGGUAGAAAGUGUGAGAAGCUUGGACUGACUUGGGUUCAAAUUUUGUCUCUCACACUCCAGCUGUGUGCCUCUGGGCUAGUGACCUCACCUCUCUGAGCCUUGGUUUUCUCCUUUUGAAAAUGGGCAAAAUAAUACAUUGUACAGGUUAUGUGGUGAAUCAAGUUAGAUUAUAGUUAGAGAGUACGUAGUGAGGUUCUGGUUUAUAGUAAGUGCUCCACAAAUCCAGCAUCUCACUUCUUCCCCCCAACAGAGCAGUUGGGCAGGCAGGAAUCAGAAGCUCAGAGAGGCAAAGGGACUUGACUAAGGGUGCACAGCAAGUGAGCAAAAAGUGGGCACCUACUUCCUUCCCUGGGAAUUCCUGUCAUCACUCUUGUGAAAGGGCCCAGCCCAUUUCCCAAUAGAAGGUUGAGGCGCCUGUCCCCUGCCUGUUCCCAGCCACUCCAGGACAAUGGAGAGGAGAGGUGAUUGUAAAGGUGACCACAGCCACCGAUGUUUUAGAGCUCCUGCAGUGGCCAGGCCCCAUGCUCUGUCAGUGCGAUUUCACUUCAUUCUCCAGACAACCCUGGGAAAUAAGAACUGCUAUUAUCCUUCCCAUCUGAGAGCAACAGCCAGCAGACAGCAACCCCAGAACCCGGGUGGAGAGAUAGGCUGAAUCCUUUUGGGAGCAGGUCCUUGAAAUGAUCUAGACUGAGAUUUUUGACCUGGGGUCCUUGGAGCUCCAUGAUGAACUUCAGUGGCCUGUGAGCCUCCUGAAAAUGUUGGCUACAUUGUGACUGGAUAUGAUCAAAGGAAGAAACUGAGGAUCAGAGAAGUCAAGAAAUUUGGACAAAGCCCCCUAGCAGGAAAAGUGGUGGAGCUGGAACUGGAGCUGAGAUUUAAGUGUCUUGACUCCCUGGAUUUCCCGGGAUGACCCUGAAUCUGCAGGCCCAUAAUCAUCUCUGAUUCUCUUUGCUGGGCUCCACCACACCAGUGGGAAGAUGAUAGAGAUCUUCAGGGACCUGGAGAAGAGGGAAGCAACACAGCAGGACCUAUCUUUAAUCCAGCAACAGGUUCCAGAAUGUUCCAGGUGAGGGAGGGCAGAACAUAGACCAACCAGAAUCCCAGGAAGCAAAGAGAAGGGAGGGCUUCAGACUAGAUGUGUACAUGUGUGUCUGUGUGCGUUAGUGGGCAUGUGUGUGUGCGUGCGUUUAAAGGUGGGGAGAGUUUUAUAUAGCAAACAGUGUUGCUUCCAAAAAUUAUUUGAGGUAGCUGCCAUUAAAAAAAAAACCCUGCCCAGGGGCUGGCCCGGUAGUGUAGUGGUUAAGUUUGUGGGCUCUGCUUUGACGGCCUGGGGUUUGCGGGUUCGGAUUCCGGGCGCGAACCUACACAUCGCUCAUCAAGCC
RNAcentral lists this long non-coding RNA (1436 nucleotides) under Equus caballus (horse). RNAcentral's name for it is "lncRNA (ENSECAG00000044549.1)". The record is from RNAcentral. Lineage: Eukaryota; Metazoa; Chordata; Mammalia; Perissodactyla; Equidae.